RNAcentral lists this ribosomal RNA (253 nucleotides) under uncultured bacterium. Its description in RNAcentral is "partial 16S ribosomal RNA". It matches the Rfam family "Bacterial small subunit ribosomal RNA", at positions 524 to 776 of the family's 1533-position model. The record is from RNAcentral.
UACGGAGGGUGCGAGCGUUAAUCGGAAUUACUGGGCGUAAAGGGUGCGUAGGUGGUUGAUUAAGUCAUUUGUGAAAGUGCUGGGCUUAACUUCGGACGGGCAGGGGAAACUGGUUGACUAGAGUGUGGUAGGGGUAGAGGGAAUUUCCAGUGUAGCGGUGAAAUGCGUAGAUAUUGGGAAGAACACCGGUGGCGAAAGCGCUCUACUGGGCCUGCACUGACACUGAGGGACGAAAGCUAGGGGAGCGAAAGGG